GCAAGGGUGAGAGAGCGUGAACGUUACGCCCAGAAUUCAAACUUUUAACUUGUUGCGCUUUUUUGAAUAACUUAUAAGUGACUGUUAUCAUUGUAAUAAUAGAAGUGUGGUAGCGUAAAGUGAAUAAAUGAUAAAAUAAAGCUGAAGAUGUUCAGCUGUUGUUCUAUGUAGAGUUGAAGUCUCCAGAAGUUGAAAUCUCCAGCUGAGAAACAAUACACAGGAUCCCCGGCCAAAUAGUAAUUAGGGGGGAGCUAGGACCGGUACACAGGUCAAUAUACAGGGGAGCAUACUCAUCCCUUACCUAUUUCCCCAUUCUAUAGAAACAGACUGGAGAAAUAUUUCGUCAAACCAUGGUUUCGAAAAAAAGAGAUUUUUUGAGAUUUAGUGAAACACUGGUGGCUUUUUACUGGUGAAGAACUAAGAAAGAUUGCGUGCCCGAGAAGUUUACCCAAUGGUAAAACAGAGACUGGAGUUAUGGGGAAAAGAAGAACACAAAAUACCUGAAAAAUGUUAAAUCAAGGCAGUCUACCGAGCUGCUAUAGCAGUUCUUCGAGCUGUAACAGCCACGACAGCUGUAACAGACAUAAUAAUUCCAAACUCAGCAAUAGCCAUCACAGUCGUGUUGGAUACUAUAGGAGUAAGAAAAGACUGACCCUAAGGCCCCUAGAUGGGCUGAGAACAUUAUUACCCCUAAGCCUAGGAUCUACUUGGAGAAUGUUUAUCCUUCUCCUACUAUUCUCUAGCCUUACUUUUUCAACUGCUGAAUAUGUGAAGAACUUUAAAAUUACGGAGGGAGUUCAAAUCGGCAGUAGAAUAGGCUUUAUCGGCGAAACCGAGCCCGGUCGACCGAAACCACCAUCACCACCCUAUCUAGUUGUCCCGUCGGCCGAUUCGCCGAUCGACGAGGAUCUUGACAUCGACCAGAACACCGGAGAGGUUCGGACGAAUGUUGAGUUAGAUCGAGAGAAACGUGCUCGGUAUAGAUUUAGUGCAAUCCCACUUAGUGGAGAAGGAGAAAAUAUCAAGGUUAAUAUUGAAGUAGAAGAUCAGAAUGACAACAGUCCUACCUUCUCUCAAUCCAAGAUUACGAUAGGUCUUCCAGAAAAUUCUCCUAAGGACUCAAAAAGACGAUUACCACCGGCCGUCGACGCCGAUCUUGGUAUUUUCAACACCCAGCGUUAUGAAAUCAUCUCCGGGAACCGUCAAAACUCGUUCCGGUUGUCGACCCAGCGGGACAAGGACGGUAGGUUGAUGCUGGACCUGAUCGUGAACGGGUUCCUGGACAGGGAGGUGAUCAGCUCCUAUACUCUGAGUAUUGAGGCCCAGGAUGGAGGGAAUCCAACUAGAAAAGGACUGUUGACUGUAGAAAUAAAUAUUCUGGAUUUAAACGACAAUGCUCCAGUAUUCAAGGAGCAACGGUACUACGCGUCUAUUCCUGAGAAUUCCACUGUAGGAUCUGAAAUCAUCACUGUAUCCGCCCUAGACCCAGACGAAGGGCCCAAUGGCGACGUAACCUAUUCCAUCAACCGUCGACAAUCUGACAAUCAAGAGCUCUUUGCUAUUGACACACUAAGUGGACUCCUGACCGUGAACAAGCGGCUCGACUUUGAGUCGAAAGAUCAACAUGAACUUGUUGUUGUUGCGAAGGAUAACGGUGACGUACCUCAAGAAACGACAGCUUUUAUCACCGUUAAGAUAACAGAUAUUAACGACAAUCAACCGAAGAUAAACGCUGUUUACAGGACGCCGACAGGCAGGCCCGAGCUCCGGGAGGACGCGCUGAUUGGUCAGAAAAUCGCCGAUAUUACGGUAACCGAUCCUGACGAACCAACACAGAUUGCGGAUUUUGACGUUACUUUAAGCGGCUCGGAUAUGGGAUAUUUCAGCCUAGAACGACAACGAUCCGGAUACAGCCUAGUUCUUGCAAGACGGAUAGACAGGGAGGAAACAGAUAAGAUAUCUUUAACCCUUGAAGCUUUGGACGACGGAUUCCCCCCUCUCAGAGCAAACCUGGAGCUAACACUCAGAAUUCUGGAUGUGAAUGAUAACAGUCCUGUGUUUGACUCUGUUGAGUAUGAAGGUAGUAUCCAAGAGACUGCUACGCCUGGGACUAGUAUUCUCCGGGUUCUAGCAGAAGACCAGGAUACAGGGGAGAAUAGCAGGAUAAACUACCGACUAGAGAAUAGUGCAUUGACCCACUCUGACUGGUUUACUAUAGAUUCUGAGACUGGCCUAAUAUCCACUAGAACUAAGAUCGACUGUGAGAUAGACCCUGAACCUAUUCUUGUCGUUGUCGCUACAGACAACGGAAACCCUCGUCGCAGUUCUAGCGCGACCGUGAGAAUCGGCGUAGAGGAUGUGAACGACAACGAGCCAAGGUUCGACAGUGUGUUCUACAACGUAUCCCUGAAGGAGUCUGUGGAGUCGGGCACCUGUUUUAUCAGGGUAAAUGCUGAAGAUUCAGACUGUGGAGUAACAUCAAAGGUGUCCUAUCGGCUGGGUGAGGUUGAGCCAAGGUUCCGGGUAGACCAGGAUACUGGAGAGAUUUGUCUCCAGACAAACCUGGAUUUUGAGACGGAUACAUUCCAUCAUCUAACCAUUGUCGCUGUAGACAGGGGUGGAUUGUCCUCUACGUCAAUGGUUGGAAUAACAGUUGAGGAUGAUAAUGAUAAUAGUCCUCAGUUCAACCCUAGGGAAUAUAGCGGGAGUGUUGAAGGAGAAGGCCAGGCUGGUGAUCAUAUUCUCAGAGUAUCAGCUGUAGAUAGAGAUUCAGGAGACUGGGGACAGGUGACCUACUCUAUCAGCAAGGGUAACCAAGAAGGCCUAUUCCUGCUGGAUGAAAAGGGAGGUGUUCUAUCUCUAGCACGUUCUCUUAAGGAUGCUCAAGGAACAUUUAAACUUGAAGUGUCAGCUGUAGACGGGGGCGGGACAUCAGCCCCACAACCAGCUCUUUUAUCAAUCAACAUAGCGCCUCAAGACACACCCUCAACUCCACCCUUAUGUAUCGAAAAAUUGCACCAGUUUUCUAUUGAGGAGGACGCAAUAAUUCGCUCGGAUGUCGGUAAAGUUCGCACAAACGUAAAAAAUCCGCGAAUAUUUUUCUAUUCAGAAAACGCGCAAAGUUAUUUUGACAUAGAUUCUCAGUCUGGCCUGAUCUCAACUAAGAUGGAGCUUGAUCACGAGACAAAUCCAAGAUUUCUUCUAAAUAUCGGAGUCGAAGAUGAUGUCUCCGGUAUGACCGGAUACUGCCAGGUCCUUGUUAACAUAAUCGACAUUAACGACAACGCUCCCAGCUUUGGUCCCACCCUGGGCUUGAUCACCAUUCCUGAAAAUUCUCCUGCCCACACUCUGGUGUUCGCUAAGCAGGCUCGGGACAGAGACUCCGGUGAGAACGGAAGAGUUAACUAUAGGAUAAUCAAGGAUACAGGGGUAUUCACUGUGGAUGAGAAUACAGGGGUGGUUACAACCCUACAGGAGCUAGAUUAUGAACAGAUGGAACAGCAUGAGGUUCAGCUGGUGGCCUACGACAAUGGUUCCCCCUCCCUCUCCUCCAGCUUUUCUAUCAAUAUUCUCGUUCAGGAUGAAAACGACCACGCCCCUGUGUUCUCUAAGCCCUCCUACCAGCUGACAGUCGAGGAAACCCUGCCAAAGGAUUCUCAGCUCCUUCCCCUUGACGCUGAAGACCUGGAUGGAGGAAAAAAUGGUCGACUACGAUUUUCUAUAAUUGAUGAGUCUGAGUAUAUCUCUAUCCUACCAACCAGUGGUAUUCUAUACCUGAGUAAAGAACUGGAUUAUGAAACCAUCAACUCUAUCUCCUUCACUGUAAAGGUUGAAGAUGAAGGUACCCCCCCUCUAUCUGAUGUUUGCAGUGUAGACAUCAGGGUGGUGGACUCCAAUGAUAAUGCUCCUAUAUUCUCUAAGGAGGAGUACUCCUAUAUAGUUGAGGAGAAUACAGGAGUUGGAUAUAAAAUAGGAGUUAUUCAGGCAACAGAUGCAGAUAGUGGACAAAACGGAGAUAUUUCUUAUAAGUUUAAGAGAAGCACAGAUGUAUUUCAAAUUGACGAAAAGAAUGGUGAGAUCCGAACUGUUGUGAACCUGGACCGAGAAGUGGAAGAUGAAUAUAUUCUUGAGGUUGAAGCUGUAGAUUCAGGAAUACCUAGAUUAACCAGCUCAGCUACUCUUCAUAUACAGGUUGAGGAUCUGAAUGACAAUGCUCCCGUGAUAGUUGAUCCAGUAGUGACUGUUCUAUCCGUGCAAGGUAGAGCUCCUCCUGAUACUCCUAUAGCUCGGAUACUAGCUACAGAUCCAGAUCUAGGAGACGGAGGGAACCUAGUUUAUACCAUAGACAACGAUGGUGGAGCUGGUCAUGAUGUUCUGAGUAUACAUCCAACCACUGGUCUUCUAUCUACAUCUUCCCUUCUAGAGUAUAAUCCUCAUAAUAUAACAGUUACAGUCAGAGUUCAGGAUCAAGGUUCUCCUAGUUUGAGUUCUAAGGUUUGGUAUACUGUCAAUAUCUUAAGAGAAAGAGAUACAAGUCUACCCUUUGCUCAAACAAACCUUAUUCUACAGGUGUCAGAGACUGCUACGCCUGGGAGCAGGGUGGGAAGUGUGAAACCUAAUCCAACCAACCUGGAUCUAAGCACAGCAUGGUUUUCUAUAUCAGGAGGAAACGAGGACGGAAUGUUUGAUAUUGAUAAUUACAACGGUAUCCUAGUUGUUCUUAAACCCCUAAGGUUCAGCUCCAGGAAGGAGUUUAACCUAAGAGUGUCUUUAAACGACGAGGUGUACGGAAUGUCCCGUGAAAUCAUCAAGGUUAAGAUUAUCAUCACUGAUGUCAACGGUAUCAGCCCUAUAUUCUCAACUAGCCCCCUGGAGCUUAAUGUGCCUGAAAACACGGCUAUUGGCACUCCCAUACAGACAAUUAAAGCCAAGGGUAUGGACAGUGCUGGUAAUGGGACUAUUCGCUACUCACUGUUGGAACAAUUCCCGCAGAAUUUUUUCCGGAUUGAUUCGCUGUCUGGAGAACUGUAUCUGAUUCAUGAACUAGAUUUUGAAUCUACUGAGAAAGUGUUUAUGACCUUGCGUGCCACCGACAGUUCAUUUGCCGUGGAGGGGAGAAAAACGUCUGAUGUAUCAGUUAUUGUUCAUGUUGAGGAUACUAAUGAUCAUGUACCCACGUUUGUUUCAACAAAACGGAAGGAGAUUCAAGAAGGAAUUGAAAUUGGAGUUCCGUUCCAUCGCGUUCUAGCUGUAGAUGGUGACUCCAAGGAUGCCGGAGACGUGAGUUAUCUGAUUGAAGGAGGGAACAGUGAUAACGUCUUUCAUCUUGAUGCAUCCACUGGACUACUAUCCAUCAAAGAACGUCCUACCCGGUCUAGCUACCAGUUAACUAUUAAAGCUGAGGAUAGCGGUGUACCGAGAAAGUAUAGCAGUCAGAUUCUCCAGAUAGGUGUAGUAGAGCAGAGUAAUGGUCCGCCUAAAUUCACACAAACUGUUUACAGAGCAGAGGUAAUGGAGCAUUCCGAGCCCGGGACCCUGGUUAUUGCUGUACAGGCGGAAAAACAGGGUUCAGGAUCAGACAUUAUCUACUCCAUGGAUACCAGCGUGUCCAGGGGAUUGUUUAGGAUUGAUGAAAGAUCUGGAGAUAUAGUCACUAUGGGAGAUCUUGAUAGGGAGGAAAGGAAUGAAUAUAUAGUUACCGUAUACGUACAUGAUUCCAACACCCAACCUAAUUUCGACACUGCCACAGUUCUCAUCAAGAUCUCAGAUGAGAAUGAUAAAACCCCAAGAUUUGUGGAUUCCUGCAAUCCGCUUUUUGUUCCUGAGAACACAGAUCUGUCAGCAUUACAUUAUUUCAUAGCGGUAGAUGAGGAUGAAGGGCCAAAUGGAGAAAUAACCUACAGCAUCGUGGGCGGGGACGAGGGAAAUAAAUUCUCUCUGGAUGCACACACUGGACAACUGUCUGCAGCUCCACUCGACCAUGAGGAGCAUUCAUCAUAUUCUCUCACCAUCAAGGCGGAAGAUCAAGGAAACCCAAGAAGAUCCAGCACAUGUGAAACAACCAUCAGAGUUAUUGACAGGAAUGACAAUGAUCCUGUGUUUCUUGAAACUAAAUACAAGGCAAGAAUCAGUGAAAAUGUAGAUGUUGGAACUCCAGUUAUGAGUGUAACUGCUACAGAUGCAGACUCAGGACAGAAUGCUAAGAUCUCUUAUUCUAUACAGAAUGGUACGGAGUGGAUCUUUGGUAUCGACAAGGACACCGGAGAGAUCUACACCACGGCCAGGUUGGACAGGGAGAAAAAUGAGGAGUAUAAUCUGCUGAUUAUGGCGGUGGAUGAAGGUAUUGAGGAUACAAGGAUGGCAUCUACUACUGUCAGUAUAACUCUGCAGGAUGAGAAUGACAAUGAACCUGAGUUUGACGAAUAUCCCUUCAUGGCCCAGAUACUCCCGGAGCAUCCUGUGGGUUCGCAAAUAACUAAAGUAACUGCUAAGGACAAGGACAAGGGACAGAAUGCCAAUCUUAAAUACUCAUUUUUAAACCAGGAGGAUGCGGAAAAGUUUUCAAUUGACGCAGUGACUGGGAUAAUUUCCUCCCAGCAAAAUCUUGUAACAGAUGAUGGAGGGAUGUUUCAUAUCGAGAUCCUGGUAACGGAUGGUGGUACUCCUAGUCUCAGUUCUACAGGGCUGGUGGAGAUAAAGAUUGGACAGCAACCUAGCGUACAACUCAACUUCCAGCAGAAACUUUACGAAUCCCAAAUCUCGGAAGAAUCUAAAAUCGGCGAAGAUAUUUUGCAAGUGCAGGCAGUUCGUUCAGAUGGACGAAUUCAGAGGGUUAUCUACACUUUCGGCCAGGGGAACCAGGACGGAAUAUUUGAAAUCAAUUCAAACAAUGGGUUGAUCCGGCUCAAAAAUCCUCAGUUCAUUGACUAUGAGAGAAAACAGGAGUACAAAGUGACAGUACUGGGACAUGCUGCAGGACAAGAGCAGCUGUACGCCUACGCCGAGUGCAAAAUACGAGUAAAGGAUGUGAAUGACAAUGAACCAAGGUUUACACAAAAUGUCUACUUUGCUCGUGCCUGGGAAGGAAAUAACAAGGGAACCUUUGUUACCCAAGUAAUGGCCGUGGAUGGAGACAGUAUUGAGAAUGAACGUCUAUAUUAUCAGAUUAUUGAUGGAAAUCAUGAUGGGGCGUUCACAAUUGAUCAACAAUACUCUGGAAUCAUUAAAACCAAUAUUGUUCUGGAUCGAGAGAUUAGAGAUUCCUACGAGUUAAAAGUGACUGCAACGGACGAGGGUUCUCCGCCCAAGACAGGAUAUACCAAGGUUAUCGUGAAAAUAAUUGACAUCAACGAUAACCAGCCGCAGUUCCCUCCAAGCACACCCAUUACGAUAUCUGAAGGAACGGUUGCUGGGACCAGGAUAGGGACUAUACAAGCUAACGAUAUAGAUAGUCAUCCACACCUUACAUACUCAUUUGUCAACCCAUCUCCAGGCUCAUCCAUCAAUCCGUCGGAAUCAUCAGUUCAGACCUCGGAAUUCUUCAGUAUUGAUAAAUUUAGCGGAGUAAUCAGCCUGGCCAAGAAGGUUGAUCGUGAAGCUACGGACAGGUUUAUUGUUGAGAUUGCUGCUUCCGACGGAGCUCACACUGUUCAGACCAGCGUUGAAAUACUUAUUGAGGAUGAGAAUGAUUCUGCUCCUGUAUUUGAGAAACAGGUUUAUACUGGAGUAUUCUCCUCUAACAUGACCCUCCCUGCUCCUAUGGUUUCUGUUCGAGCAGAGGAUAAAGAUUCAGGACGGAACGGAGAAGUGAAAUAUAAACUGAUUGGAUCAGAUAUUGGAUAUAUCGAUGAAAAUGGAACAAUAUAUGUAAAUAACACAUCAGAUAUAGAGCAAGGUACGGAGAUACAUCUUGUUGUAUCCGCUGAAGAUCUAGGUUCCCCUCCUCAACAGUCCUUUGUAUCCGUCCGUCUACUAAACCUUCAACAUUCAGAGACCAGUCCGCAAUUCCAUCAGCAGGAAUUUGCGGUAAUUAUAGACCCUAGUGCAAAAAUUGGCAGUAAACUUGCAAAUCUGGAGGUUCCAUUCUCCGGAGGCAAUCUAUUCUACUCCUUAGCUCCUGGUAGUAAUAAUCCCUAUGUAGAGUUGGACAGUUCUACUGGGACCCUGAUACUAAAGAAAAGGAUCGAUGACCCGAAACUAAUUCCUAAAACCUUGGACGCAACAUUAAGACGAGACAAUAGAAUAGGGGAUGAGACGAGCGCAAGCAUAAUCCUCAAUUUAGGAGAUCUCGCCGACUCGGCGGAUUUGUUUGAAAGGAAAUAUUAUGACGUAAACCUGUCUGAAAACACAGGAACAGGGAAGGAGAUAUUUGGUGUACCCGGGCCCCAGCUAAACUAUCAUCUUAGAAUAGCCUCCGGGAACAUAAACGAUACUUUUGAACUAUCAUCUGUAAAGGCGGGUUCAUUAUUGCUCAAGAAAUCUUUGAACUAUGAAACCCAGAAGGAGUACAAGUUGAUACUUCUUGGUACCAUUGCUAACCGUUUUGACAUCGUUACAGUGGUUGUUAAAGUCCUGGAUGAAAAUGACAAUUCUCCGUUCUUCCCAGUAAACAAGCAGAUUCACUCAAUCAAAGAGAAUUCCUCCCCAGGCAGUUUAGUAUUUGUAGCUCAGGCACAGGACCUUGAUAUCUCAGAUUCUCUACACUACUCUAUCAAUAGUGAUGAAUUCACGAUCGGAGAAACAAAUGGUCGUGUCCUUUCCAAGCGCGUGUUUGAUUAUGAGACCGAACAGGAAUUUAAUUUCAACCUCAUGGUCACAGAUAGUGCAGGAGCUAAAGCUUCUGCAGAUGUCAUAAUCAAGAUUGAGAGCGUGGAUGAAUACUAUCCAGCGUUUGAAUCUCCAUCCUACCAGUUUACCAUAGAUAGAUUAUACCCUGCAGAACAUAUCCUGGGACGGGUUAAAGCUGUUGAUCAGGAUGCCGGAGCUAGUGGUAGAGUUGUGUACAGCCUCGCAAGUAAUGAUGGAUACUUCAAAGUUAAUGCAGAUACCGGAGAAAUCCUGGUUUCUAGGAACCUAGAUAUGGGGUUGGUUUCUUCCGAUUUGGGAUCAAACAGACAGUUCCAAGAUGUGAACUAUCUGGUAUAUGCGAGCACAGGAAGAGAAGACAGUUUAAAAACCUCAACCCUUGUAAUUUUCCAAGUAAAGAUCGACAUCCUCCCUCCCGCCCCACUUCCCUCCACAGAAAGCGGUAUUGCAACAUGGGGACAAGGAUUAAUCAUCGCCUUCGUAUUUAUCCUUGUCAUUGUCGGAGCUGGGAUAUUCUUCUUUAAACGCUUCUCAGUCAAUAAAUUUAUUCAGAAGCGUUUAAUAGAUCCGAGCAGUCCAGCUGGACUUCCAUACACAAACUCGAUAAACGACACGAGUACUAUGGACAGUACAGUACCGAUGUCCCAGUACCCCCCGCAGUACAGUGAUAUUGUAUCCCAGUAUGGGCACUCACAUGGAAAAUCUGGUCAGACCCGGCCGGGCCGGUUAACUCAGUCAGAACUAUCCGAGCAGAGCCAUCGCUCAGCGAGUAGUGGACGGGGGUCAGCAGAAGAUGGAGAAGAGGAGGUGGAUCAUGAGAUUCAAAUGAUCAACGGAGCAGGACUACCAACUCUGAAUGAUACUUGUAUUGCUGAGGAUAGCAUGAGUGAUAUCAGUGUACAAAAUGGCAAGGAGUAUCUGGCUAGGCUUGGUAUAGAUACAAGACCCCCUCAUCUCUCCCAUACCUCCUCAUACCAAACCCUAGAGGGACAUCAAGAUCUUUAUAACAGAUUACAGGAUACUGAUGCCCUGUCUGAAAAGAACAGUAUGGUGUCAGGAAAUAAUUCAGUUUAUGCGAGAACAGGUCACCCUGUAUCCAUGACAGGGUCUAUAUCUAGUAUGGUGCACAGUGAAGAGGAGGUUGCAGGAAGCUAUAACUGGGAUUAUCUCCUAGAUUGGGGACCACAGUACCAACCUUUACAACACGUUUUCCAGGAGAUUUCUAGUUUGAAAGAUGAAGGAUCUCAAUCUGUAGGUAUCCAUGUACCUCCUCUCCUAACCUCCCUCCCACCUAGACACGCCCAUUCAGUCUCAACACAUCCCCGCUCACCUGUCUCCCAGGAGAUGCUGCUUGGCUCCGCCCUUUCUCCAAAUUUCUUGCCCGCCCUCUCACCCUUAGCUACCCGGUCACCGAGUAUAUCUCCACUAGGACCCAUGACCGGUCCGGUACGGGGUGUUACUCGGACAGUUCAGCAGCCGAGAUAUCAGUCGUCUUUGCAUUCUGAUUAUGCAGAGGCAGCAGAGAAUGAACUAAGAAUUUAAGUACAAAAAAUACAAAGUUAAAACCCAUUUUUACGUUGAAUUUCUCACAACCUCGGCUAAUAAGUGAAAAUAUAGAUAGUUAAAGAUCUAAUUUAAUUGUGAUAUAUUUAAACUGCAGAACAGAGCAGGACUUUGGACAUUUAAGGCAUCUGUUCACAGUUUUAUCUUGUGUAAUAGAAAAUUUUAAAAUAUGAAUAUUCAGCUGUGAUAACUAUUCGUAAUUUAUACAUUUCAAUCUUUGUAAUGUUUGCCAUUAGCAUGAUUCUUAUGGUUACCAUUCCACAGUAAUUGUGUAGCCCCCUCUUAUACAUACAGGGUACAAGCAUAUGUUAUAUGUGUUACCAAUUAGUAUUCAUCCAUGUUUUAUAUAAAGUUGUGCCAACAUUUUGGAAAUGGUGACUCAAUUUUCUUGUAGAAUCUCUAAUACUCUAUUGUUGUUGCUACGAUCAAAAUAAAUGUUACCUGACCUUUA
This 10819-nucleotide unclassified non-coding RNA is filed under the name Eurytemora carolleeae. Its description in RNAcentral is "protein dachsous". The record is from RNAcentral. Lineage: Eukaryota; Metazoa; Arthropoda; Copepoda; Calanoida; Temoridae.